Small nuclear RNA from Hyaena hyaena (striped hyena), 107 nucleotides. Lineage: Eukaryota; Metazoa; Chordata; Mammalia; Carnivora; Hyaenidae. The record is from RefSeq and is a predicted model, not a curated record.
GUGCUCGCUUUGGCAGUACAUAUACUAAAACUGGAAUAAUACAGAGAAGAUGAGCAUGGCUCCCGUGCAAGUAUGACAGGCAAAUUCAUGAAGCAUUCCAAAUUUUU